CCCUUAGAUGUUCUGGGCCGCACGCGCGCUACACUGAUGCAUUCAACAAGCCUAGCCUUGACCGAGAGGUCCGGGUAAUCUUUGAAACUGCAUCGUGAUGGGGCUAGAUUAUUGCAAUUAUUAAUCUUCAACGAGGAAUGCCUAGUAAGCGUGAUUCAUCAAAUCGCGUUGAUUACGUCCCUGCCCUUUGUACACACCGCCCGUCGCUACUACCGAUUGAACGUUUUAGUGAGGCAUUUGGACCGACGCAUCUCAGUUUAACCGCUGGUUUGUGUUGGAAAGACUUCCAAACUUGAGCGUUUAGAGGAAGUAAAAGUCGUAACA
This 324-nucleotide ribosomal RNA is filed under the name uncultured eukaryote. RNAcentral describes it as "partial 18S ribosomal RNA". It matches the Rfam family "Eukaryotic small subunit ribosomal RNA", at positions 1470 to 1796 of the family's 1831-position model. The record is from RNAcentral.